AUUGAACGCUGGCGGAAUGCUUUACACAUGCAAGUCGAACGGCAGCACGGGGGCAACCCUGGUGGCGAGUGGCGAACGGGUGAGUAAUACAUCGGAACGUGCCCAGUCGUGGGGGAUAACGUAGCGAAAGUUACGCUAGUACCGCAUACGAUCUACGGAUGAAAGCGGGGGACCGUAAGGCCUCGCGCGAUUGGAGCGGCCGAUGUCAGCUUAGGUAGUUGGUGAGGUAAAGGCUCACCAAGCCGACGAUCUGUAGCUGGUCUGAGAGGACGACCAGCCACCCUGGGACUGAGACACGGCCGAGACUCCUCCGGGAGGCAGCAGUGGGGAAUUUUGGACAAUGGGCGCAAGCCUGAUCCAACCAUUCCGCGUGCAGGACGAAGGCCUUCGGGUUGUAAACUGCUUUUGUACGGAACGAAAAGGCUCUGGUUAAUACCUGGGGCUCAUGACGGUACCGUAAGAAUAAGCACCGGCUAACUACGUGCCAGCCGCCGCAGUAA
This 500-nucleotide ribosomal RNA is filed under the name uncultured bacterium. Its description in RNAcentral is "partial 16S ribosomal RNA". It matches the Rfam family "Bacterial small subunit ribosomal RNA", at positions 30 to 523 of the family's 1533-position model. The record is from RNAcentral.